This 253-nucleotide ribosomal RNA is filed under the name uncultured bacterium. RNAcentral's name for it is "partial 16S ribosomal RNA". It matches the Rfam family "Bacterial small subunit ribosomal RNA", at positions 524 to 776 of the family's 1533-position model. The record is from RNAcentral.
UACGUAGGGGGCAAGCGUUGUCCGGAUUUAUUGGGCGUAAAGAGCGUGUAGGCGGCCAAACAGGUCCGUUGUGAAAACUGGAGGCUCAACUUCCAGACGUCGACGGAAACCGUGUGGCUAGAGUCCGGAAGAGGAGAGUGGAAUUCCUGGUGUAGCGGUGAAAUGCGCAGAUAUCAGGAAGAACACCAAUGGCGAAGGCAGCUCUCUGGGACGGUACUGACGCUGAGGUGCGAAAGCGUGGGGAGCAAACAGG